UGAGGACCCUAAUGAUCACCAAAUUGGCUGAAAUUUUGCAGAGAUGAUCUACACAAUAUUAUCUAGAUACUAGACGGUGGAGAUGAGGAAAUUCGAUCGAAAAGUGGUGCAAAAAUGGAAAUCCGCACCAAAACCAUUGGUGCGGACGUCCGCACCUGAUCAGCAUUGUAUAUAUAUAUAUAAUAAUAAUAAUCUUACAAGUCCCUCCAUCCAUUUGACUGGUGUGGCAUGAACACUUUGGUGCACCUUGAUGGCGCUGGGUUUGAUGAUUUGGUGGUUUGUGGUGGAGUAAUAUUGGCUUCAGAAUUAGUGGAUGAGUGAUCUUGAACUUUCUUUCCAAUAUUUAUGUUCCAGUAAUUCAAGAUUCCAUUGUCUGUUCAGCCGGUAUCUGCACCAAUAAGUAAUACAGUAAAUAAUAAAAACAUACAUAUUGUGUAUAUGCUCUUAGCCUCUAUCUAGUGUUAAGUUGAUGUGGAAAGAUAAAUUGAUGUGGAACUGUUAAGUAGAAUCCCAGAGUGUUCUUUGCCUACCAAUAAAUUCAGAUCUAGCCAUGACAUUGUACGAUAGAUCAACUAAUGAUACCUCAACAAACAUGAACACAAAAGACUAAAUCUUGUACAAAGGAUUUAGGGAUGUGUUUGAACAAAAGAAACAUGGAACAAAAUGGAAUAAAAUCAUCAAAAUGAUAUUGAUUUCUCCCCGAAUCUAAAUAACUUAGAAACGAAUGAAAUAUAGUCUCAAGUCUCAAGUCUCAACUAACAAAAAAUGUGUCUGCUUUUUCACAACAUUCAUAACCAUACUGACCCACAAAAGGCAUGCGCUAUUGUUAGAUAAAUACAAANNNNNNNNNNNNNNNNNNNNGUAUAG
This 867-nucleotide long non-coding RNA is filed under the name Fragaria vesca (wild strawberry). RNAcentral describes it as "long non-coding RNA (FVES_LNC003090)". Lineage: Eukaryota; Viridiplantae; Streptophyta; Magnoliopsida; Rosales; Rosaceae. The record is from RNAcentral.